AGAGUUUGAUCCUGGCUCAGGAUUAACGCUGGCGGCGUGCAUGAAACAUGCAAGUCGAGCGCGGUGCACAGUGGGGUAACUUGCUGUGCAUCUAGCGGCGAACGGGUGAGUAACACGUGAGCAAUCUGCCUUUGAGUCGGGGAUAGCCCUGGGAAACCAGGAUUAAUACCCGAUGUGGUCACGACACGACAUCGCGUUGU
RNAcentral lists this ribosomal RNA (200 nucleotides) under uncultured bacterium. RNAcentral's name for it is "partial 16S ribosomal RNA". It matches the Rfam family "Bacterial small subunit ribosomal RNA", at positions 8 to 198 of the family's 1533-position model. The record is from RNAcentral.